UUGAACGCUGGCGGCAUGCUUUACACAUGCAAGUCGAACGGUAGACCCUUUCGGGGGUUGAGAGUGGCGAACGGGUGAGUAAUGCAUCGGAACGUACCCAGUCGUGGGGGAUAACUACGCGAAAGCGUAGCUAAUACCGCAUACGCCCUGAGGGGGAAAGCGGGGGACCUUCGGGCCUCGCGCGAUUGGAGCGGCUGAUGUCGGAUUAGCUAGUUGGUGGGGUAAAGGCCUACCAAGGCGACGAUCCGUAGCUGGUCUGAGAGGAUGAUCAGCCACACUGGGACUGAGACACGGCCCAGACUCCUACGGGAGGCAGCAGUGGGGAAUUUUGGACAAUGGGCGCAAGCCUGAUCCAGCCAUGCCGCGUGAGUGAAGAAGGCCUUCGGGUUGUAAAGCUCUUUCAGACGGAAAGAAAUCGGGCGCGUGAAUAGCGUGCCUGGAUGACGGUACUGUCAGAAGAAGCACCGGCUAACUACGU
Molecule: ribosomal RNA, 478 nt
Filed under: uncultured bacterium
Lineage: Bacteria
Description: bacterial SSU rRNA
Rfam family: Bacterial small subunit ribosomal RNA
Source: RNAcentral